This 378-nucleotide small RNA is filed under the name Vigna angularis var. angularis. Its description in RNAcentral is "Non-protein coding transcript". Lineage: Eukaryota; Viridiplantae; Streptophyta; Magnoliopsida; Fabales; Fabaceae. The record is from RNAcentral.
UCAUAAAUAAAACUAUAUACAUGCAUUUUAGUACCAUUAAAAAUUGGAAAACAAAUUAAAAAAAUAUAUAGAACUAGAUUGGAGGGUGUGCCAGCCCAUGCUAUAGUGCAACGCAAGAGCGACACUUGAAGGACCCAGUAGCAAGCUACCGUCGUGGACCUUCCCCUUUAAAAAAUUAAUUUAAUAUCGUGUGGACCAUUGGCCCACAUAUCAGAUAUUAAACUGAUAAGAACAGAUACUACACUUGAUCUUAGCCAAAAGGCCGAGAAAGGUAUGAGUUCUUUCAGCUUGAGAGACUCAUUUUAGAGUACAACAUCAAGUGACUGUUAUGUAUUACAGUCUAUGUGGGACUCAGCAUUGCAUUGUGUAAUCCACUCC